Molecule: ribosomal RNA, 444 nt
Filed under: uncultured bacterium
Lineage: Bacteria
Description: bacterial SSU rRNA
Rfam family: Bacterial small subunit ribosomal RNA
Source: RNAcentral
AACGAACGCUGGCGGCAGGCCUAACACAUGCAAGUCGAACGUGAAGCUGGAGCUUGCUCCAGUGGAAAGUGGCAGACGGGUGAGUAACGCGUGGGAAUCUACCCAAUGGUGCGGAAUAACUCAGGGAAACUUGUGCUAAUACCGUAUGAGCCCUUCGGGGAAAGAUUUAUCGCCAUUGGAUGAGCCCGCGUUAGAUUAGUUUGUUGGUGGGGUAAUGGCCUACCAAGACUACGAUCUAUAGCUGGUCUGAGAGGAUGAUCAGCCACACUGGGACUGAGACACGGCCCAGACUCCUACGGGAGGCAGCAGUGGGGAAUAUUGCACAAUGGGCGCAAGCCUGAUGCAGCCAUGCCGCGUGAGUGAAGAAGGCCUUAGGGUUGUAAAACUCUUUCACCGGUGAAGAUAAUGACGGUAGCCGGAGAAGAAGCCCCGGCUAACUCCGUG